This 549-nucleotide ribosomal RNA is filed under the name uncultured Actinomycetes bacterium. RNAcentral describes it as "bacterial SSU rRNA". It matches the Rfam family "Bacterial small subunit ribosomal RNA", at positions 80 to 628 of the family's 1533-position model. The record is from RNAcentral. Lineage: Bacteria; Bacillati; Actinomycetota; Actinomycetes.
UGCUGGGUUGGAUGAGUGGCGAACGGGUGAGUAACACGUGAGUAACCUGCCCCCUUCUUUGGGAUAACGGUCGGAAACGGCUGCUAAUACCGGGUAUUCACUGUCCUUCGCAUGGGGGGUGGUGGAAAGGUUUUUUCUGGUGGGGGAUGGGCUCGCGGCCUAUCAGCUUGUUGGUGGGGUGAUGGCUUACCAAGGCUUUGACGGGUAACCGGCCUGAGAGGGUGACCGGUCACAUUGGGACUGAGAUACGGCCCAGACUCCUACGGGAGGCAGCAGUGGGGAAUAUUGCACAAUGGGCGAAAGCCUGAUGCAGCGACGCCGCGUGAGGGAUGACGGCCUUCGGGUUGUAAACCUCUUUCGCUCAUGGUCAAGCCGCAACAGUGGUUGUGGUGAGGGUAGUGGGUAAAGAAGCACCGGCUAACUACGUGCCAGCAGCCGCGGUAAUACGUAGGGUGCGAGCGUUGUCCGGAAUUAUUGGGCGUAAAGGGCUUGUAGGCGGUUUGUCGCGUCUGCCGUGAAAUCCUCUGGCUUAACUGGGGGCGUGCGGUG